GUGAACGCUGGCGGUAGGCCUAACACAUUCAAGUCGAACGGCAGCACAGUAAGAGCUUGCUCUUACGGGUGGCGAGUGGCGGACGGGUGAGGAAUACAUCGGAAUCUACUUUUUCGUGGGGGAUAACGUAGGGAAACUUACGCUAAUACCGCAUACGACCUACGGGUGAAAGCAGGGGAUCUUCGGACCUUGCGCGAUUGAAUGAGCCGAUGUCGGAUUAGCUAGUUGGCGGGGUAAAGGCCCACCAAGGCGACGAUCCGUAGCUGGUCUGAGAGGAUGAUCAGCCACACUGGAACUGAGACACGGUCCAGACUCCUACGGGAGGCAGCAGUGGGGAAUAUUGGACAAUGGGCGCAAGCCUGAUCCAGCCAUACCGCGUGGGUGAAGAAGGCCUUCGGGUUGUAAAGCCCUUUUGUUGGGAAAGAAAAGCAGCAGGUUAAUACCCCGCUGUUCUGACGGUACCCAAAGAAUAAGCACCGGCUAACUUCGUG
Molecule: ribosomal RNA, 491 nt
Filed under: uncultured bacterium
Lineage: Bacteria
Description: partial 16S ribosomal RNA
Rfam family: Bacterial small subunit ribosomal RNA
Source: RNAcentral